GACGAACGCUGGCGGCGUGCUUAACACAUGCAAGUCGAACGGAAAGGCCUGCUUUCCCUUGUGGAUUGCGGGUACUCGAGUGGCGAACGGGUGAGUAACACGUGAGUGAUCUGCCCCCAACUUGGGUAUAAGCCUGGGAAACUGGGUCUAAUUCCCGAUAGGACUGCAGGGUGGUGCCUGUGGUGGAAAACGAUUUUCUAGUGGUUGGGGAUGAGCUCGCGGCCUAUCAGCUUGUUGGUGGGGUAAUGGCCUACCAAGGCGGCGACGGGUAGCCGGCCUGAGAGGGUGGACGGCCACAGUGGGACUGAGAUACGGCCCAGACGCCUACGGGAGGCAGCAGUGGGGAAUAGUGCACAAUGGGCGGAAGCCUGAUGCAGCGACGCCGCGUGGGGGAUGACGGCCUUCGGGUUGUAAACUCCUUUCGACCGCGAGGAAGCCACCUGGUUGGAAGGGUGGUGACGGUAGUGGUAGAAGAAGCACCGGCUAACUACGUG
Molecule: ribosomal RNA, 494 nt
Filed under: uncultured bacterium
Lineage: Bacteria
Description: partial 16S ribosomal RNA
Rfam family: Bacterial small subunit ribosomal RNA
Source: RNAcentral